Molecule: long non-coding RNA, 272 nt
Organism: Lepidothrix coronata (blue-crowned manakin)
Lineage: Eukaryota; Metazoa; Chordata; Aves; Passeriformes; Pipridae
Exons: 3
Source: RefSeq, a predicted model, not a curated record
CGCGGGGAGCGCUCGGCGCGGAGCGGGCGUUGCGGGGUCGCCGGGAGCCGGGCAGAUCUUGAUGGUUAUGGCAAAAUCUUUCUUCAGCUUAUGGUAUAAUGGACUACCAGUUGGAUGAUUUACAGUCGUCUGAAACAUGAUAUAUGCUUCUCCUCUUCCGUGUCCAUGCCUACAUGCUGACGCAGUAUCAGUUUUGUUUCCAAAAGAGGAGUUCACAGAAUUACACAGUGUCUGAUCCAACUAGCCGUUCUGAUGAUCCUCACUGGACCAUG